ACAUGAAGGAACCUAAACUGAAGAAUCUGAAACAUCUGAAACUAAAUGUCAUCUCUUGGCCUCAUUUCAGUUACGUGAUGAACUAAGAUGGAGAGGACAAUAGACUGCUUUGUCUUUGAGAACAUCUGG
Long non-coding RNA from Nothoprocta perdicaria, 129 nucleotides. RefSeq lists it as uncharacterized. NCBI's taxonomy places the organism in Eukaryota, Metazoa, Chordata, Aves, Tinamiformes, Tinamidae. The record is from RefSeq and is a predicted model, not a curated record. The transcript has 2 exons.